RNAcentral lists this ribosomal RNA (439 nucleotides) under uncultured bacterium. Its description in RNAcentral is "partial 16S ribosomal RNA". It matches the Rfam family "Bacterial small subunit ribosomal RNA", at positions 339 to 795 of the family's 1533-position model. The record is from RNAcentral.
CUACGGGUCGCUCCAGUGGGGAAUCUUGGACAAUGGGCGCAAGCCUGAUCCAGCCAUGCCGCGUGAGUGAUGAAGGCCUUAGGGUCGUAAAGCUCUUUCGCCAGGGAUGAUAAUGACAGUACCUGGUAAAGAAACCCCGGCUAACUCCGUGCCAGCAGCCGCGGUAAUACGGAGGGGGUUAGCGUUGUUCGGAAUUACUGGGCGUAAAGCGCGCGUAGGCGGACCAGAAAGUUGGGGGUGAAAUCCCGGGGCUCAACCCCGGAACGGCCUCCAAAACUCCUGGUCUUGAGUUCGAGAGAGGGGAGUGGAAUUCCGAGUGUAGAGGUGAAAUUCGUAGAUAUUCGGAGGAACACCAGUGGCGAAGGCGACUCACUGGCUCGAUACUGACGCUGAGGUGCGAAAGUGUGGGGAGCAAACAGGAUUAGAUACCCCUGUAGUC